RNAcentral lists this unclassified non-coding RNA (329 nucleotides) under soil metagenome. RNAcentral's name for it is "partial contains 5.8S ribosomal RNA, internal transcribed spacer 2, and large subunit ribosomal RNA". The stretch from base 1 to 120 matches the Rfam family "5.8S ribosomal RNA", at positions 35 to 154 of the family's 154-position model. The record is from RNAcentral.
GAUGAAGAACGUAGCGAAAUGCGAUAAGUAAUGUGAAUUGCAGAAUUCAGUGAAUCAUCGAAUCUUUGAACGCACAUUGCGCCCUCUGGUAUUCCGGGGGGCAUGCCUGUUCGAGCGUCAUUAUAACCACUCAAGCUCUCGCUUGGUAUUGGGGUUCGCGGUUCCGCGGCCCCUAAAAUCAGUGGCGGUGCCUGUCGGCUCUACGCGUAGUAAUACUCCUCGCGAUUGAGUCCGGUAGGUCUACUUGCCAGCAACCCCCAAUUUUUACAGGUUGACCUCGGACCAGGUAGGGAUACCCGCUGAACUUAAGCAUAUCAAUAAGCGGAGGA